AUGAGUGGAAUUCUUUUUAUUUUUAUUCUUAUUUUAAUGUUGCUUAUGCGCGCACAUGAACAAGAUCCAGUAUUCCAACUUUUAAAGCUAAAUUCACCUUUUUCUUUUAUUCAUAAACCAAGCUUCAUUUUUUUAAUAAAAGAUUCAUUGUUUUUU
Vicia faba (fava bean) is the source of this 156-nucleotide non-coding RNA. The record is from the annotation of a GenBank genome assembly. Lineage: Eukaryota; Viridiplantae; Streptophyta; Magnoliopsida; Fabales; Fabaceae.